This 253-nucleotide ribosomal RNA is filed under the name uncultured prokaryote. RNAcentral describes it as "partial 16S ribosomal RNA". It matches the Rfam family "Bacterial small subunit ribosomal RNA", at positions 524 to 776 of the family's 1533-position model. The record is from RNAcentral.
UACGUAAGGGGCAAGCGUUAUCCGGAUUUACUGGGUGUAAAGGGAGCGUAGACGGCAGUGCAAGUCUGAUGUGAAAGCCCGGGGCUCAACCCCGGGACUGCAUUGGAAACUGUGCAGCUAGAGUGUCGGAGAGGUAAGUGGAAUUCCUAGUGUAGCGGUGAAAUGCGUAGAUAUUAGGAGGAACACCAGUGGCGAAGGCGGCUUACUGGACUGUAACUGACGUUGAGGCUCGAAAGCGUGGGGAGCAAACAGG